RNAcentral lists this long non-coding RNA (267 nucleotides) under Brassica napus (rape). RNAcentral's name for it is "long non-coding RNA (BNAP_LNC004487)". Lineage: Eukaryota; Viridiplantae; Streptophyta; Magnoliopsida; Brassicales; Brassicaceae. The record is from RNAcentral.
CAUGUACUUUUUCAAAUCAUAAAUUAAAGUUUCUUUCCGAAGAACAUGUAGCACACGUUUCAGCCUUUCAAAAUUCAAAUCAAAGUAAGCAUUACAUACCAGAAUGGUAUCAAGGCACAAAAUAAUAUUGAACAUUUUCAAAACGUGUCUACCUUCUCAAAAUCAGAACACAAAAGAGUAAUUUCGGAUUGAGAAUCACUUAUCAAAGGCUCACUAUGUUUUUCAAAGAAUGUAUUGCAAACCAGAAUAACAUUAAAUCUCAAAACA